RNAcentral lists this ribosomal RNA (499 nucleotides) under uncultured Glomeromycotina. RNAcentral describes it as "partial small subunit ribosomal RNA". It matches the Rfam family "Eukaryotic small subunit ribosomal RNA", at positions 591 to 1092 of the family's 1831-position model. The record is from RNAcentral. Lineage: Eukaryota; Fungi; Glomeromycota.
CCAAUAGCGUAUAUUAAAGUUGUUGCAGUUAAAAAGCUCGUAGUUGAAUUUCGGAAUCAGUACGCUGGUCGUGCCUUCGGUAUGUACUGGUGUCACUGAUUCCUCCCUUCUGACGAACCGUCAUGCUAUUAAUUUAGUGUGGCGGGAAAUCAGGACUGUUACUUUGAAAAAAUUAGAGUGUUUAAAGCAGGCUCACGCUUGAAUACAUUAGCAUGGAAUAAUGAAAUAGGACGUUGAUCUUAUUUUGUUGGUUUCUAGGAUUGACGUAAUGAUUAAUAGGGAUAGUUGGGGGCAUUAGUAUUCAAUUGUCAGAGGUGAAAUUCUUGGAUUUAUUGAAGACUAAAUACUGCGAAAGCAUUUGCCAAGGAUGUUUUCAUUAAUCAAGAACGAAAGUUAGGGGAUCGAAGACGAUCAGAUACCGUCGUAGUCUUAACCAUAAACUAUGCCGACUAGGGAUCGGAUGAUGUUAAUUUUUUAAUGACUCAUUCGGCGCCUUACG